This 1608-nucleotide ribosomal RNA is filed under the name Triticum aestivum (bread wheat). Its description in RNAcentral is "partial small subunit ribosomal RNA". The record is from RNAcentral. Lineage: Eukaryota; Viridiplantae; Streptophyta; Magnoliopsida; Poales; Poaceae.
AUGGCGGCGGCGGCGACGAUGACGUGGCACGAGGAGCUGGCCACGCUCGUCGGCGACACGGGCGUGCGCCUCCCUGCCGCGGCCGGGGGCGCGGCGCCGGCGCCCAAUUCGGCGGCGGCGGUCGGGGGCGGCUGGUACGGGGAGGAGGAGGAGGGGAAGGUGGAGGAGGGGUGGGCGCAGCAGGCCAGGGGGUUCGCAGAGUCCACGGCGGAGAUGCUGCGGGAGCUGGGGCUCGGCGUGUGGGACGUCGCCGCGCAGAGCCUCGCCGGCGCCGAGGACAGCGAGCUCGCGCGGCGGCUGCGGCGGCCGGCGGCGGCCGCGGGCAAGCGCCUCAGCUUCAUGAACGAGUACCUCCCCGAGGACCGCGACCCCGUCAGGUGCUGGGUCGUCGUUGCCGCCGUCGCAUUCGUCGCGCUCCUCGUAUUAGGUGUAGGGGGUGGGGAUGAUACCCCAGUGGAGCAACCGAAGAAACUUUACAUAAGCCCCCCAAAUGCUAAAAGAUUUCAACUUCCUGAUGGACGGCACCUGGCUUACGAAGAAAAAGGAAUUUCAGCUGACAGGGCAAGAUUUUCACUGGUUGCUCCCCAUUCUUUUCUUUCGUCAAGGCUAGCAGGAAUCCCUGGAAUCAGCUCAUCACUUCUAGAGGAAUUUGGGGCACGACUUGUGACCUAUGAUCUUCCUGGUUUUGGUGAAAGUGAUCCUCAUCCAGGCCGAAAUCUGAAUUCUUCUGCAUUAGACAUGCUUCACUUGGCCGAUGCCCUUGGGAUUGUGGACAAGUUCUGGGUUGUAGGCUAUUCUGGAGGUGGCAUGCAUGCUUGGAGUGCUCUGCGCUACAUUCCUGACCGGGUGGCAGGUGCAGCAAUGUUCGCCCCUAUGGCAAAUCCGUAUGACUCCAAAAUGACCAAGGAUGAGAAACGUAAAAUUUGGGACAGGUGGUCAACUAAACGGAAACUAAUGCACAUUUUAGCUCGGAGAUUUCCAUCACUAUUGCGCCUCUUCUAUCACACAAGCUUCCUUUCUGGAAAGCAAGGACAGACUGAGAGUUGGUUAUCAUUGUCAAUGGGAAAGAAGGACAAAACCUUACUGGAAGCUCCUAUGUUCAACGCAUUCUGGGAAAAGGAUGUUGCAGAGUCUGUGCGCCAGGGAGAUGCGCAACCAUUUGUAGAGGAAGCUGUGCUGCAAGUAUCUGAUUGGGGAUUCAGUUUGUCAGACAUUCAAAUGCAGAAGAAAGAGGAUCAGGGAGUAUUUGAAUUUAUCAAGUCUCUGUUCAGUCAGGCUGAACGAGAGUGGGUGGGAUUUCUGGGCCCAAUCCACAUCUGGCAGGGAAUGGAUGACCGGGUGGUGCCCCCAUCGGCGACCGAGUUUGCCCGGAGGAUGGUUCCAGGAGCCACUGUCCACAAGCUUCUGGACGAAGGCCACUUCUCAUACUUCUGUUUCUGCGAUGAGUGCCACCGUCAGAUAUUCUCCACCCUGUUUGGCACCCCGCAGGGCCCUCUGAAUCCUGCACUGGAAUCCAGUGAAGUGGCCCCGGAACCGGUGGAAGAAACAAGCCCUGCAUAUGACGAAGAAGUUGCAGGGCAGGAGCAGGAAACAUCAGGCGUGGCCUGA